Hipposideros armiger (great roundleaf bat) is the source of this 2260-nucleotide RNA transcript. It is a transcript of the gene named MYST/Esa1 associated factor 6, with no coding region annotated. The transcript has 9 exons. NCBI's taxonomy places the organism in Eukaryota, Metazoa, Chordata, Mammalia, Chiroptera, Hipposideridae. The record is from RefSeq and is a predicted model, not a curated record.
GCGCGCAGGGGCCGCCUCCACAACCCGGCGCGCCGCCGCUGCCGCCUCAGCCCAACAUGGCGAUGCACAACAAGGCGGCGCCGCCGCAGAUCCCGGACACCCGGCGGGAGCUGGCGGAGCUCGUGAAGAGGAAACAGGAGCUGGCGGAAACACUGGCAAACUUGGAGAGACAGAUCUAUGCUUUUGAAGGAAGCUACCUGGAAGACACUCAGAUGUAUGGCAACAUUAUUCGUGGCUGGGAUAGAUAUCUGACCAACCAAAAAAACUCCAAUAGCAAAAAUGAUCGAAGGAAUCGCAAGUUUAAGGAAGCAGAGCGGCUCUUCAGUAAAUCCUCAGUUACUUCAGCAGCCGCAGUAAGUGCGUUGGCAGGAGUUCAGGACCAGCUCAUUGAAAAGAGGGAACCAGGAAGUGGGACGGAAAGUGAUACUUCUCCAGACUUCCACAACCAGGAAAAUGAGCCCAGCCAGGAGGACCCUGAGGAGCUGGAUGGCUCUGUGCAGGGAGUGAAACCUCAGAAGGCUGCUUCUUCCACUUCCUCAGGGAGUCAUCACAGCAGCCAUAAAAAACGAAAGAAUAAAAACCGGCACAGCCCGUCUGGCAUGUUUGAUUAUGACUUUGAGUAUGUAUAUUAGGUUAGGCUGGGAAGUUUUUUUUAAAAACAGAAAAACGUGAUGGAGGAUUGAUCUGAAGUUAAACAAAAAACCACGAGCUGACUAUUAGAAGACUCAUUAGUGCAGAAGCUUCCAGGCCGUAGAGCCCUGCCUCCCUCCUCCGACCUCACAAAGACAAACACCCCUCACCCGAGUGUGUGGCCACCAUCUCUGCUUUCCCAGACCCAGUGCCUGUGUCUCUGAGUAGUUUGUUCUGAAAUGUGACAAACCAGUCAUUUCCGUAAGACCACAUCGGAUCGUUUACUUUGUGUCAUGUUUAGUAACAGAACUGCAGGAAGACCAAGACAUGGUUAUAAUCCCAGCAAGUUGCUAACUGAAUCUCUCUCUUCUUGGAACAAAUGUCUCCCCCCAAACUGGCUGGCACCAGCUUCGUCUGCGAUACCCAUUGGGAAAUGGUCUCUGCUCUUGUUUUAUGCUGAAAGAACACAGGUUACAUUUCAGAGGGAGGCUGUAAAUACCUGGCAUUUUCUUAUUUUGUUUGUGUUUUAUCAUUUUUCUAUUGUUGUUUUUACCAUCUUAUUUUCAUUUUGGGACUUCUUUUGUAACGCCUUUGUACGGCUCAUACCUUCCUGUCAACAUAUCUGAUCAUCUGUUUCGUGGAGUUGCCAGUAUUCCUAACAGAAAGUGAUCUGGUUUACCACAAAUAAAAUGGGGAACUUGGCUCUUUGUUUUGUUGCAGGGGAAAGGUACAGAGUGUUUGUUUAAUAAUUACCUAUCUUAAAAUCUCUGAGUUGGAAGCAGUUUCAUGUUCAAGGAAUAGGAAAAACUGAAAAACGAAGUUUUAAUCAGUACUUUUAAAAUAGAUAUUUUUAUUCUUUUGUAUAAAUAAAAUUUCACAGGUUUUGAUUUCUCAUGCUUAGUUUUAAACCUGAGAUUGUUUUUUUCACUUAUUUAUUUGUAUCAUGCCUUAUGGAAAUUUCCUUUUCCAUCUUUUCUCUCGUUGCUGGUAUUUGCCCGGUUAAAUAUUGCUCUUCAAAUCAUUAAGGCAUAUGGAAAGCCUCAAAAUUGUGCCCAAAGCGGAUAACUUAUGGAGCUCUUGAACAGGGUGAAACAUAGGAUCAACGAGAGCCAUCAGUGCCCAACAGACCCCUCUUCCUUAUGGGUGUGAUGGGCCAAGGAACUCACUGGUAAUUGUUCCCUGCCUCUGGCGCAGUGGUCAUCUCCCUUGGCUGCAUUUUGGAAUCCCCUAGGAAGCUAAAAAAAAUACUAAUGCCUGGGUCCAACCCCCAGAGACUCUUAGCUAGGUAGGGUACCAUCUAGUUAUGGGGAUUUCCUUUCAAAGAGUCCCUGGGACUCUGAUAAGAAGCCAAGCUGAGAACCAUUGCAUUCAGAGACUGGAUGGUGUGAUUUAAAUCCCAUGUUGUGAAUCAGUCUAAGGGGUAAGAUUUGGGCCUCCCCUUUCCUUUGCCUCUAUUUAGUUGUAGUCCUUUACUUAUGCCCAGAUCUUUGUUAGAAAAAAUAUGUUCCAUUUGUGAUAAUAUUGGUAGAGCUGAAUAUGGGUGGUGUCUAUUAAAUCAAAACAAUUCUACCUUGUCAGAUGUGCAGAAGCUUUCACUCUUGUUCUCAAAUAAACUUGGUUUUGUUUUGGA